CCGUCAACGCUCAUGAAGACAGGGAGUUUGUCUUGCUCACCAAUGUGUCCCAGGGCCUACUAUAGUGCCCAGUACAUAACAGAUGUUCAGUGAAUAUUUGUUGAAUGAAAUAAUGCUCUGCAAGAUCAUAAAAUGGUGUAAUCAUCUAAGAGAUUAUACUAUGGUCAGUAUAGAUGUAUUUAUUCUAAUAGUUUAAAAAUUGGUAAUCAGUGCACACCAAUGUUUAGGUUCUGAUCAUAGUUCCAAUAUGGAGGGGUGUCCCCACACCAACAAGCAAUUCUCAGACAUCACCUGAGUGUCCCAUAAUUCAACUUAUAGGCAAGAGUACUGGAGUGGGUUGCCAUUGCCUUCUCCAAUUUCUGACUAGAGGUAGCAUCAGAUACCCCAGGUUAGGCACUCAGUCCCACAGGACUCCCCCAACCAGCCACUUCAUACACCAGCAGCAGGUCCAGGUUAUCAGCUGUGUUUCUGACCAACUGACUACAAACUGGGCUUCCCAACAACCUCCACCUUGGGUUUCAGACACCAGCCUCCAUCCAGGUUGUUAGCAGUACUUUUGACUGACUGACUAUAAAUCAGAAGUUCCACUAGAGUGGCUUACAGAACUCAGAGAAUCACUUUACUUCCUAGAUCACUGGUUUAUUAUACAAGGAUCAGCCAAAUGGAGGAGAUGCAUAGGGCAAGGAAUGGGGAAAGGGCACAGAGCUUCUGUGCUCUCUCUAGGAGCACAGCGUGCUCUUCGCAAAUCUCCAACCUGGAAGCUCUCCAAACCCUGUUUUUUUGGGGGGUUUAUAUAGGCUUCAUUAAUAGGCAUGACUGACUAACCCAUUGGUCACUGGUGACUCAAUCACCAGGCCCUCUCCAAUCCCCAGAAAUCAGGGGAGUGGAACUGAACCCUCUAAUCAAAGGGUUGGUUUCCCUGGUGACCAGCCGCCAACCAGAGAUGCUUUCCCAAUUCACGUUAUUAACAUUAUAAAACAUACCUUUAUUGUUCUCAAAGUCGGAAAUGCCAAGGGUCUUAGGAGCUCUGGGCCAGAAACAGGCAAAGACCAAAUACACAUAUAUAUUUGUUAUUAUAAAUCACAGUAUCACACCCAAUUAACUGGAACUCCUCAUUUUUAACCAUUUUUCAUAAGAAUUUCAUAAAUACCACUAUGAGCAGAAGCUAUUAUUUAUGUGAAACAUAAAAAUUUUUCAUUCAAAUAUUUAUCAAACACCUACUAUGCACCAGGCACUGUGCCAACUGUCCCUGACCCCAGCAGCCUUCAACGUCUAGGGCAGCCUUUUUCAACUGGAAUCCCUCAUCUACAGAUGCAUGCACAGGAGAUAAGUAUAACAUAAAACAGAUUCUCUAGGGCAUUAGGAAUGGAUUCUCUCCCAGUGGAGAAAGACUAAUGUAAAGUGCCACAGAAAUUAAAAGGAAAUGACAGGGGCUUACCUGGUGUCCAGUGGUUAAGACUGCGGUUCUACCGUAGGAGAUGCGGAUUUGAUCCCUGGUGGGGGAAGUUCUUUAUGCCGGGAAAAGGGACCCCCGCCCUCAAAGAAAUUACAAUACGAUAAUAAAAGUUUGCUUUUAAUAGGGGCAAAUUCACCUGUUAAACCCAGCCAUGGGGACUUCCUGGGUAGUCCUCUGGCUGGGACUUUAAGCUCCCAAAGCAGGGAGCCCGGGUUUGAUCCCUAGUCUGGGAACUGGAUCCCAGGUGCCACAACUGAUGCCCAGUGCAGCCAAAAUAAAUAAUUAAUUUUUAAAAAAAUCCAGCCAUGUAUGAACUACCUGGUAGGGGCAAAGAUGAACAGGCUAUUUGUAAUGUUGGAGUAAAUGCAAAAAUACUGCACUACAUACAUUCAGAUAACUUGC
Bos taurus (domestic cattle) is the source of this 1858-nucleotide long non-coding RNA. The record is from Ensembl. NCBI's taxonomy places the organism in Eukaryota, Metazoa, Chordata, Mammalia, Artiodactyla, Bovidae.